GACGAACGCUGGCGGCGUGCUUAACACAUGCAAGUCGAACGGAAAGGCCCUGCUUUUGUGGGGUGCUCGAGUGGCGAACGGGUGAGUAAAACGUGAGUAACCUGCCCUUGACUUUGGGAUAACUUCAGGAAACUGGGGCUAAUAUCGGAUAGGAGCUCCUGCUGCAUGGUGGGGGUUGGAAAGUGUCGGCGGUGGGGGAUGGACUCGCGGCUUAUGAGCUGGUUGGGGGGGUAGUGGCUUACCAAGGCUUUGACGGGUAGCCGGCCUGAGAGGGUGACCGGCCACCUUGGGACUGAGAUACGCCCCAGAAGCCUACGUGAGGCAGCAGUGGGGAAUAUUGCACAACGGGGGGACGCCUGAUGCAGCAACGCCGCGUGCGGGAUGACGGCCUUCGGGUUGUAAACCGCUUUCGCCUGUGACGAAGCGUGCGUGACGGUAAUGGGUAAAGAAGCACCGGCUAACUACGUG
RNAcentral lists this ribosomal RNA (468 nucleotides) under uncultured bacterium. RNAcentral's name for it is "partial 16S ribosomal RNA". It matches the Rfam family "Bacterial small subunit ribosomal RNA", at positions 28 to 507 of the family's 1533-position model. The record is from RNAcentral.